This is a long non-coding RNA of Catharus ustulatus (Swainson's thrush), 3573 nucleotides long. RefSeq lists it as uncharacterized. NCBI's taxonomy places the organism in Eukaryota, Metazoa, Chordata, Aves, Passeriformes, Turdidae. The record is from RefSeq and is a predicted model, not a curated record. The transcript is spliced from 2 exons.
CAUUGAAGUCAAUGGGAGUGUUGCCAUUUGUGGGCUUCUGCCACGUCCUGUAUAUGGUACUGAGAACUGGAGGGGGAAAAGGAGUAUAUUCAAAGGGAAGAGAACCAAGAGGGGAGGAGCUAAACAGAGCUGCCAUGGAAAAUGACCAGAAAUCUACUAUCUGAGAAAACCCAUCCAUCAUCUUCAGGCAAUCUUCCAAUCUGUUAACUUUAGCUGCUACUAAUAAGUGUCUCAGUCCAGGAAAAGCAAUUAUUACGAUGUUUCACAGAACAGCUUCCAGAUAACAUAUGAUGUAAACUGCUCUUGGGCAACAAAUUCUUCUAAGGAAAUUAGCUUUUUUUUUUUUUUUUUUUUUUUUUUUUUUUUUUUUUUUUUGUCAGUAUGCAGCUUUACCAAUGCAAGUCUGAUAAAAAGAGAGGUAAAGAGGAAGAGCUGUUGGAAAUGUGUUUUGGCCAUAGCUACUGCACCCAUUUACACCUCCCAAAGACUUGAAUCACAAUGCUCUAUAAAGCCCUUGUUAUGGGUUUGAUCAGUGUGCAGACUGUCAGUAAGGAUGAGAGAUCUUACACGUGACUGAGAUAUGGUCAGUAAUGUGUUACAUCACAUAGAGCCAAACCAGGCGACCUGGUUGGACUGCAAGUUCACAUCCUGAGAGAGAUAUCUCACCUACUAUCUAACACACGUAACCAGCAAUGCAGAACAAGCCAAGCUCUGUGUGUUGGCAUCUCUAUUUUGAUUCUUGCUGUUUUGGGGCCCUUAAUGAACAUGCAGCACCAUAGCAGGCUGCUGUCUGCAGUCAGUACCUGCUCAGUGCUCACGCCUGGCAGUCACUUGCAUUUCUCUGUCCUCAGUCUCCACAGCACAUGGAAAGCUGCUCUGGCAGCCUCUCCAAAGUAAUCAAGGACUGUUAUUAGGUAGCUUAGAUGGAUAUCCUGAUGGAGGAUGAAAUCACCUGAUCUCCCAGUGCAGAGAGCUUCCUAUUAGAAAAAGCGAAACUAAAACAGGAGAGUGUCAAAAGAGCAGUACAUGAUUUAUCUAUGACUACCUUCACUGUAGCAUGAUUUCUGUAAUGAGGUGCUUCUGUCAAGGAAUUGAGGAGGAAAUGUGGAUAAUUCCCCUGUGGCAAAAACCAUACAUUGGCAAAGUCUACUUUCAGAUCCUAGAGCCAAUACAUUUAGGAUCAGUCAGAUGUGGUGGCAUCUCACCAAGCCUCUCUGAUUGGUUUUGGGCGCUGGUUAAUGUCACACAUCUCUUUAGAAAGUUCCUCAUGACUAAUACCUGGCUGUUCUUCACAUGUCAUUGUAAGCAGAUGUUACCUUGUGACUAACUUUCUGUCUGCCCUUGCUAGACUCCUUGAUCUUGAAGGCUAACAACAUUUAGCAUGAUUCCAUUUAGCAUGAUUCCAUGAUUCCAGACCCAUCUACCUCAUCAGACUCAAUGACUUGUCUUUUCAAUUCCACUUCUCUGUGUAUUAUUGAUUCUCUUGGCAUGUUUAGAUUUCUGGUUGCAAACUUGCUUUCUGAUCCCUGAAGAAUUACAUGCUAAAAGGAAAGCAAUUCCUUCCAAAAAUUUCAGAUUAGUGUGCUAGAUCUUUCUGUGUAAAUGUAACCCAAACCUAGAGACCCAUUUACUUUCUGAGCAAAGGUUUGGUCUUGAGUACCAUCAUUAAGCUGUUUGCCUUUAAUUGUCGAAGACUGACAGAUGCCAGCAAACAAUUUGAUUUCAAUGUCUAACAAGAGGGUAAGAUACAUUGCUGAAAGGUCAACAGUUGGUAUUUGGGAGUUUUUGGGAGUUCUUGGCCCCUUGGACACCCCGCUAGUAAGUGCUUGGAAAGGCUGAUUUUGCCAUAAGGCAUGCAAGUUGAUCAGAGUUUGGUUAUAGGAAAGUCUGCAUUCUUUGUGCAGUUCAUAGGUGAUUUAAAGUAUUCACUAAUUUAGUUGUGUCCUUUGGCAGUUGUGUCCUAGGCAGUAAUUCUAUGCAGUGGGAUGGAAAGUGUUAAAAUUACUUUCCCUAGGAUAGGACAUACUGGGAACUUCUGCCUUGCCUUGCCUUUUUUUUUUUUUUUUUUUCCCUUCAUGUGAGCAGUUUUUGGGCCUCAAAGAUGUAACAUAUUAAAAUGUGAUCAUGAAAUUGUGAUCAGGAAGCAUUUAAUGGUACCUGCUUGAUUCCUGACAGCAUUAUGCUGUCUGUAAUGAUGAGAAAGGUAAAAAUAAAAAUGAUGUUUCCAAUUUGAGAGAUGCUCUGUAGCAUUAACAGGGAGUCCAACAAUUUCAAGGAUAGAAAUUCUUAUAUUCCUAGUGAACUGAAAAAAGUGCUACUUCUUCCUGUAUGUUAUAGGAGAAGAUUCUUUUUAAAAAAAUGUAAAUUAAGUUAUCAAAUCUAAACUCAUUCUUUGCCAUCAGUUUGAAACCAGAAAUUGUCACUUCUUUCCUAGAGACAUCCAUUUUCAUUGAGAGUGACUCUGGCCUUUGUGGUGUUACUCUGUUAUGUUAUUUCUCAGCAAUGUGCUCAGCCUCUACAGUACAAACCAUUAAUGAAUAUGUUUUUUUCCAUGCAGAUAUUCAUCUUCUUGUAUAAGACAGUCUUGCUCCCUAAAUCUUUUAGACCUAUCACUCAGUUUAUAUGCACAACAAGUCUUUGACAGUUCUGUAUUUCUUCCUAAAGUAGAAAGUCAAGAGGAAAUAAAAAUGAAUUCUUAUGCCUGAGUAUUUGAAAAUUACUCUGGUCUAGAUGUCACUAAGGCACAAAUGUCACAGUACAUAUUUAAAAAGAAAUCACCAGAUGCAGAAUACAACAUUCCAGACACACCAGAUUGUAUUCCAAUUCAUAUGAGCCUUUUGUCUGAGUAAUUUACUCUCCUGAGAGUUAAGAGAAAUGGGGUGACAAUUUUUCAGUUUUGUACUUCGCAACUUAUUGAGGUCCCCAAAUUCAUAUUUCUUUACUUUCUUUUUUUGUACUCACUGUGUUUGUCAGAAGACAUGUAUGAAUGAAAAUAGAUCUGAAAUCUGCAUUGCUUUUCGGGCUUGGUUCAAACAGGAUUAGCAGCCAUAGAAGGAUCUCAACAAAGGUUUCCAUUACUUCCAGUUACAUCAUUAAUGAAGAUCUUUUGAACAUUUUGGUCUUCUGCCUUUCAUAUGAAGAGAAAUAAUGAUCCUGCAUUUGAAAAACAUUUUGAUAUUGCCAGGGAUGCAGACAGUACUCACUGUUAUACCUCUUUACAAAGAGUAAGAAAUAAAAUACCAUUUAACAGAAAGACCAUGCUUUAUUGUAUUUACAACAAUGGAAACUGGAAUAUAACGUUUUAAAAAUCAAGCCACAGAUUAAGUUUUGAUUGCAGUAUUUCGUAUACUGAAAAUAAGAAUAAGAAAGCAAUUAAGCAUUCAUAGUCAUGCUCUCACACAAACACCUUCCAUGGUGAGCCUGUUUAUGCAACUGAGUAUGCCAUACAAUUGCUUUUAUUACCUUCUUAUAAAACAGCCUGUAUAAAACACUUUUUUUUGAUUGUUUCUUUGUGUAUUGUUGAGCAUGUUUGCAUUCUAAAGGGCUUUGCCUCAUUAAAGCAAUUACCAUAAA